This 329-nucleotide unclassified non-coding RNA is filed under the name soil metagenome. Its description in RNAcentral is "partial contains 5.8S ribosomal RNA, internal transcribed spacer 2, and large subunit ribosomal RNA". The stretch from base 1 to 119 matches the Rfam family "5.8S ribosomal RNA", at positions 35 to 154 of the family's 154-position model. The record is from RNAcentral.
GAUGAAGAACGUAGCGAAAUGCGAUACGUAAUGUGAAUUGCAAAUUCAGUGAAUCAUCGAGUCUUUGAACGCACAUUGCGCCCCCUGGUAUUCCGAGGGGCAUGCCUAUUCGAGCGUCAUUAUCACCCCUCAAGCCUAGCUUGGUGUUGAGACCUGCUGUCAAGGCAGUCUCUAAAAUCAGUGGCAGUGCUGUCAGGCUCUAAGCGUAGUAAAUCUAAUCGCUAUAGACACCUGGUGGACACUCGCCAGAACCCCCCCAUUUUUUAAUGAUUGACCUCGGAUUAGGUAGGGAUACCCGCUGAACUUAAGCAUAUCAAUAAGCCGGAGGA